This 251-nucleotide ribosomal RNA is filed under the name uncultured prokaryote. RNAcentral's name for it is "partial 16S ribosomal RNA". It matches the Rfam family "Bacterial small subunit ribosomal RNA", at positions 525 to 775 of the family's 1533-position model. The record is from RNAcentral.
ACGUAGGGUGCGAGCGUUAAUCGGAAUUACUGGGCGUAAAGCGUGCGCAGGCGGUUCGCUAAGACAGGUGUGAAAUCCCCCGGCUUAACCUGGGAAUGGCGAUUGUGACUGGCGGGCUGGAGUGCGGAAGAGGGGGGUGGAAUUCCACGUGUAGCGGUGAAAUGCGUAGAGAUGUGGAGGAACACCGGUGGCGAAGGCAGCUCCUUGGGCCGAAACUGACGCUGAUGCACGAAAGCGUGGGGAGCAAACAG